This 405-nucleotide ribosomal RNA is filed under the name uncultured bacterium. RNAcentral describes it as "partial 16S ribosomal RNA". It matches the Rfam family "Bacterial small subunit ribosomal RNA", at positions 28 to 526 of the family's 1533-position model. The record is from RNAcentral.
GACGAACGCUGGCGGCGUGCUUAACACAUGCAAGUCGAGCGGAGCGGCGAACGGGUGAGUAACGCGUGAGUAACUGCCCCCCUCUCUGGGAUAACAGUUGGAAACGGCUGCUAAUACCGGAUAGUGGGGGUUGAUUCUCGUCCUAUCAGCUUGUUGGUGGGGUAGUGGCUUACCAAGGCGACGCCGGGUAGCCGGCCUGAGAAGGCGACCGGCCACAUUGGGCUGAGAGACGCCCCAGACUCCUACGGGAGGCAGCAGUGGGGAAUAUUGCACAAUGGGGGAAACUCUGAUGCAGCAGCGCCGCGUGCGGGAUGACGGCCUUCGGGUUGUAAACCGCUUUCAGCCAUGCCGCGGUAGUGGCAGAAGAAGCACCGGCUAACUACGUGCCAGCAGCCGCGGUAAUAC